Molecule: ribosomal RNA, 253 nt
Filed under: uncultured bacterium
Lineage: Bacteria
Description: partial 16S ribosomal RNA
Rfam family: Bacterial small subunit ribosomal RNA
Source: RNAcentral
UACGAAGGGGGCUAGCGUUGUUCGGAGUUACUGGGCGUAAAGGGCUCGUAGGUGGCCAACUAAGUCAGACGUGAAAUCCCUCGGCUUAACCGGGGAACUGCGUCUGAUACUGGAUGGCUUGAGUUCGGGAGAGGGAUGCGGAAUUCCAGGUGUAGCGGUGAAAUGCGUAGAUAUCUGGAGGAACACCGGUGGCGAAGGCGGCAUCCUGGACCGACACUGACACUGAGGAGCGAAAGCCAGGGGAGCAAACGGG